RNAcentral lists this ribosomal RNA (429 nucleotides) under uncultured Lactobacillus sp. Its description in RNAcentral is "bacterial SSU rRNA". It matches the Rfam family "Bacterial small subunit ribosomal RNA", at positions 355 to 776 of the family's 1533-position model. Lineage: Bacteria; Bacillati; Bacillota; Bacilli; Lactobacillales; Lactobacillaceae. RNAcentral also lists the same sequence under 1 other name. The record is from RNAcentral.
UAGGGAAUCUUCCACAAUGGGCGCAAGCCUGAUGGAGCAACACCGCGUGAGUGAAGAAGGGUUUCGGCUCGUAAAACUCUGUUGUUGAAGAAGAACGUGCGUGAGAGUAACUGUUCACGCAGUGACGGUAUUCAACCAGAAAGUCACGGCUAACUACGUGCCAGCAGCCGCGGUAAUACGUAGGUGGCAAGCGUUAUCCGGAUUUAUUGGGCGUAAAGCGAGCGCAGGCGGUUUUCUAAGUCUGAUGUGAAAGCCUUCGGCUUAACCGGAGAAGGGCAUCGGAAACUGGAUAACUUGAGUGCAAGAGAGGACAGUGGAACUCCAUGUGUAGCGGUGGAAUGCGUAGAUAUAUGGAAGAACACCAGUGGCGAAGGCGGCUGUCUAGCUUGCAACUGACGCUGAGGCUCGAAAGCAUGGGUAGCGAACAGG